AGGAGUUUGGAUCCUUGGCUCAGGAUGAACGCUAGCGGCAGGCUUAAUACAUGCAAGUCGAGGGGCAUCACAGGUAGCAAUACUGGGUGGCGACCGGCAAACGGGUGCGGAACACGUACACAACCUUCCUUUAAGAGGGGGAUAGCCCAGAGAAAUUUGGAUUAAUACCCCGUAAGAUUAUGAGAUGGCAUCAUUUUGUAAUUAAAGUUAAGGCGCUUGAAGAUGGGUGUGCGUCUGAUUAGGUAGUUGGUGAGGGUAACGGCCCACCAAGCCAACGAUCAGUAACUGGUGUGAGAGCACGACCAGUCACACGGGCACUGAGACACGGGCCCGACUCCUACGGGAGGCAGCAGUAAGGAAUAUUGGUCAAUGGACGCAAGUCUGAACCAGCCAUGCCGCGUGGAGGAUGAAGGUCCUCUGGAUUGUAAACUUCUUUUAUUUGGGAAGAAAGGCAUUUUUUUAGAGUGUUUGACGGUACCAGAUGAAUAAGCACCGGCUAACUCCGUGCCAGCAGCCGCGGUAAUACGGAGGGUGCAAGCGUUAUCCGGAUUCACUGGGUUUAAAGGGUGCGUAGGUGGGCAUGAAAGUCAGUGGUGAAAUCUCCGGGCUUAACCCGGAAACUGCCAUUGAUACUAUUUGUCUUGAAUACCGUGGAGGUGAGCGGAAUAUGUCAUGUACGGGAAAAUGCUUAGAUAUGACAUAGAACACCAAAUUAGCG
RNAcentral lists this ribosomal RNA (718 nucleotides) under uncultured Bacteroidota bacterium. RNAcentral describes it as "bacterial SSU rRNA". It matches the Rfam family "Bacterial small subunit ribosomal RNA", at positions 1 to 717 of the family's 1533-position model. Lineage: Bacteria; Pseudomonadati; Bacteroidota. The record is from RNAcentral.